AGUAGCGGACGGGUGAGUAACACGUAAGAAUUUACCUUUAGGAGGGGGAUACCAAAUGGAAACGUUUGCUAAUACCCCAUAUGCUUUUGAGUGAAAUGGAUUUUUCCGCCUAGAGAGAAGCUUGCGGCUGAUUAGCUUGUUGGUGAGGUAAUGGCUUACCAAGGCGACGAUCAGUAGCUGGUCUGAGAGGAUGAUCAGCCACACUGGGACUGAGACACGGCCCAGACUCCUACGGGAGGCAGCAGUGGAGAAUUUUCCGCAAUGGGCGAAAGCCUGACGGAGCAACGCCGCGUGCGGGAAGACGGCCUGUGGGUUGUAAACCGCUUUUCUCUGGGAAGAAUAAGUUGACGGUACCAGAGGAAUCAGCAUCGGCUAACUCCGUGCCAGCAGCCGCGGUAAUACGGAGGAUGCAAGCGUUAUCCGGAAUUAUUGGGCGUAAAGCGUCCGCAGGCGGCUUAUCAAGUCUGCUGUUAAAGGUCGGGGCUCAACUCCGGUUAGGCAGUGGAAACUGAUAGGCUAGAGUGUGGUAGGGGUAGAGGGAAUUCCCAGUGUAGCGGUGAAAUGCGUAGAUAUUGGGAAGAACACCAGUGGCGAAGGCGCUCUACUGGGCCACAACUGACGCUGAGGGACGAAAGCUAGGGGAGCGAAAGGGAUUAGAUACCCCUGUAGUCCUAGCUGUAAACGAUGGACACUAGGUGUU
Molecule: ribosomal RNA, 700 nt
Filed under: uncultured Leptolyngbya sp.
Lineage: Bacteria; Bacillati; Cyanobacteriota; Cyanophyceae; Leptolyngbyales; Leptolyngbyaceae
Description: bacterial SSU rRNA
Rfam family: Bacterial small subunit ribosomal RNA
Source: RNAcentral